This 492-nucleotide ribosomal RNA is filed under the name uncultured bacterium. Its description in RNAcentral is "partial 16S ribosomal RNA". It matches the Rfam family "Bacterial small subunit ribosomal RNA", at positions 29 to 507 of the family's 1533-position model. The record is from RNAcentral.
AGUGAACGCUGGCGGUAGGCCUAACACAUGCAAGUCGAACGGCAGCACAGUAAGAGCUUGCUCUUACGGGUGGCGAGUGGCGGACGGGUGAGGAAUACAUCGGAAUCUACUUUUUCGUGGGGGAUAACGUAGGGAAACUUACGCUAAUACCGCAUACGACCUACGGGUGAAAGCAGGGGAUCUUCGGACCUUUCGCGAUUGUAUGAGCCGAUGUCGGAUUAGCUAGUUGGCGGGGUAAAGGCCCACCAAGGCGACGAUCCGUAGCUGGUCUGAGAGGAUGAUCAGCCACACUGGAACUGAGACACGGUCCAGACUCCUACGGGAGGCAGCAGUGGGGAAUAUUGGGCAAUGGGCGCAAGCCUGAUCCAGCCAUACCGCGUGGGUGAAGAAGGCCUUCGGGUUGUAAAGCCCUUUUGUUGGGAAAGAAAAGCAGCAGGUUAAUACCCCGCUGUUCUGACGGUACCCAAAGAAUAAGCACCGGCUAACUUCGUG